UUACGUUGGAAAAAGAUAUGGCGACCACGUUACGAGGUGUCGGGUAACGAGAGGCGAUUUACCGGUUUACAAUUAAUGCUGCAUCAAAACAGCAGUACAAAGUCCCGUGAAAUGUGGAUUGUGGUCGGGGAGAAGAACAGUUUUCCACAGUUAAACUGUAAUAUUUGGAUUGCACAGUCCGGAAUAAAUUGUUGGUGGUGGUGAUUGUUUAGAAAAAACUAUUGCCGUGGAGUACUGUAAGAUGUGGUACUACACAAGCUGUGCUGCUCAUCAGUUUGAACAGUUGAUUGCAGUUUUUUCCACUACUGAAUUAGAAAAGGCCCUUUGUCAAGAGAAAAAUCCAAUCUAAGCCGAAAAAUUGAGACAGGCACCAGCCAAUCCUUUGUGGAAUUUUGCUAUGGACGUCUUUCAAAUGAACCUCAAUGUUAAGAAAGGAGAAGAAUCUGAACCCAAAGUAGAGCUUGAAGAACCAUCUACUACCGAUAUACCAAUAACCAACGGAACUUAUUCCAUGCGCUCCAAGACGGCAUUAUUAUGGCGUGCUCUUGCAGACUCAUGACAAUGACUUACGACGGUUCUGGUGAAGUCAUCAAGAAGGAAAGCAGUGGUAACCCUCACCAAAUCAAAAUCCUUCACCAACCGACAUCAUUUUUAAGUUCGGAAUGGAAGGCCGGCAUCUGUUUGCGGUAUGUAAGAGCAUGCUGGCGUCAGAAGAGACAUCGUAAAAGUUACUUGUUCAAGUUCCCUUUAGCAAACCUUUAUUACUUCCAUAUCCCAGACCAAUUGCCUAAAGUACCAGCAGAUCUAGAAACCCAAAGUUGAUGAAAUUUGACUUGAGGAUUAAUUGAGUUCUACAGUAUCACGACGAAAAGCAUCUAGCACGAUGUCGUUUAAGACUUCCCAUUGGCUAGACCUCUGUUCAGAAUGUCUCGGUUUUCCACGCAAACGACAUCAAAUCGUUGAGCGAAUUAUCUUUGAAAGUUCGAACACUCUGUGCAUGUCCCGCUGAGAAGAAAUGGUGACCAAAGCCGGCAACCUAGGCAGAGACAGUAAAAUUGGACAAGGAAUUCACCCCAUCUCGUCCACGAUUGCGUAAACGCAAGGGCCACUAGAUUUUGGUACUGGAGGUAAACCGAAAUCUAAGACCAUGAAGAAACUUAAUGCUUAUUCCUAAUAGCAAUUGCGCUCACUACGUAAUUCUCUAACCCAUCACUAAAGAACACCACUCCUGCAACACAAACUAAUGUUGUUCAACUCAAUUGGUGUUCACGCAGCUGGGACAACUGGAAUUCCCAUGGGUCGGCGUAUUCAUCACCAUUCAUUCACCACCAUAAAUGGUAAAACAUAUUUUAGGUUGAUCGCGCAAUGAUGAGUUCAGCUUCGGGACCCCUACCUGGCUGUACUAAUUGCUCUCCAUUGCCUCCGCCACUCCAAUCAAUGUCUUCUGGAAAAUACAGUAUCGCUUCACUGAGAUGUAUACUUUGACGUUCCAAUGGCAAACUUAAAAGGAAAUGUGACGAUUCGAACGUUGUGAUUCGUUCACAGGACAAAGAAAUAUUAACCUCCGCAGUCCGAAGAAUUUUGAUCCCAAUUCUCAGCGGGUAGACUGGCGGUCGUUUGGUCAACUAAACGGCGGCUAAGCGUGUCCGGAUGAUAAUCAGAUGUUGCUGGAUGAAUGAGACGUUGUGACCAUCUCCAAAUUCGUGGUAGAUCAUCAUUCAGCUCAAUGUACUCCGGAUCGGUUGCUAUCAGUAACUGUUAUAGACGAUUUACUUUUCGUGUCCAAUGGACUUGGUUUCUCAACAGAAUCGUGUGACACCUGCCGAAGUGAAGGACACGAAAAUGCAAUAUGCAAAACAUAACGAAACGCAUUUCGACUUCCAGUGCUGGUGAAAUUUAAAGUUAAAAAAAACAAAACAAUUUCUAUUACAAACUUCUCAGAAGUUGGGUGUAACGAAAAGUCCCUCAAAGAAGUAUGUAAGCUUAUUCUUCACCUGGAAGCAUCCAAAGUUCUUCAAGGUCUAGGCUGCGUUAAACGUUGUUGGCUCAGCCUCUCCAGCGGAAACCUACUAUGACUAAUUGCUCCCUAGUAAAACUGGCCUCGCUCUCUUCUUCCUUCUUCAGGUAAUCUCCCUGAGCACAAUGAAACAAGGCAUAGUCUCCCCUGUCUUGAUUGACCGAACUGUGCAAGGAAAUUUCAUAUUGAUAAAAUUAAUAUAUUGAAGGUAAAAUAUAAACAUGUAUGAUGAGGGAUGAUAAAAAUAUUUAUAAAAAAGUGUCAAUAAGA
Molecule: long non-coding RNA, 2287 nt
Filed under: Daphnia pulex (common water flea)
Lineage: Eukaryota; Metazoa; Arthropoda; Branchiopoda; Diplostraca; Daphniidae
Description: uncharacterized LOC124196425, transcript variant X2
Source: RNAcentral